GACGAACGCUGGCGGCGUGCUUAACACAUGCAAGUCGAACGGGAGUACUUUGAAAGCUUGCUGAUAAGUACUUUAGUGGCGGACGGGUGAGUAACGCGUGAGGAGCUGUCUUAUGCAGGGGGACAACAGUUGGAAACGGCUGCUAAUACCCCAUAAGCCGAGAGGUAAAAGGAGCAAUCCGGCAGAGGAGGUACUCGCGUCCUAUCAGCUAGUAGGUUGGGUAACGGCCGACCUAGGCGAAGACGGGUAGCCGGCCUGAGAGGGCGAACGGCCACACUGGAACUGAGACACGGUCCAGACUCCUACGGGAGGCAGCAGUGGGGAAUAUUGGGCAAUGGGGGGAACCCGGACCCAGCGACGCCGCGUGGGUGAAGAAAUCCUUCGGGAUGUAAAGCCCUGUUGUAUGGGAAGAGCAGAAGACGGUACCAUACGAGGAAGCCCCGGCAAACUACGUGCCAGCCGCCGCCGUAA
This 471-nucleotide ribosomal RNA is filed under the name uncultured bacterium. RNAcentral's name for it is "partial 16S ribosomal RNA". It matches the Rfam family "Bacterial small subunit ribosomal RNA", at positions 28 to 523 of the family's 1533-position model. The record is from RNAcentral.